Molecule: transfer RNA, 73 nt
Filed under: Fidelibacterota bacterium
Lineage: Bacteria; Pseudomonadati; Fidelibacterota
Description: tRNA-Thr
Rfam family: tRNA
About the family: Transfer RNA (tRNA) molecules are approximately 80 nucleotides in length. Their secondary structure includes four short double-helical elements and three loops (D, anti-codon, and T loops).
Source: RNAcentral
GCCUCCGUAGCUCAGUUGGUAGAGCACGAUAUUCGUAAUAUCGGGGUCAGCAGUUCGAUUCUGCUCGGAGGCU